UACGUAGGGAGCAAGCGUUGUCCGGAUUUACUGGGUGUAAAGGGUGCGUAGGCGGCUCUUUAAGUCGGGCGUGAAAGCUGUGGGCUUAACCCACAAAUUGCGUUCGAAACUGGAGGGCUUGAGUGAAGUAGAGGUAGGCGGAAUUCCCGGUGUAGCGGUGAAAUGCGUAGAGAUCGGGAGGAACACCAGUGGCGAAGGCGGCCUACUGGGCUUUAACUGACGCUGAGGCACGAAAGCAUGGGUAGCAAACAGGAUUAGAUACC
Molecule: ribosomal RNA, 263 nt
Filed under: uncultured bacterium
Lineage: Bacteria
Description: partial 16S ribosomal RNA
Rfam family: Bacterial small subunit ribosomal RNA
Source: RNAcentral